UGAGUAACACGUUGGAACCUGCCCCAAAGUGAGGAAUAAGCCACCGAAAGGUGGUCUAAUACUUCAUAAUAUCCAUCUCGUAUGGAUUAAAGCUUUAUGCGCUUUGGGAGGGGCCUGCGUAACAUUAGCUUGUUGGUGAGGUAAAAAGCUCACCAAGGCUUCGAUGUUUAACUGGUUUGAGAGGAUGACCAGUCACACUGGGACUGAGAUACGGCCCAGACUCCUACGGGAGGCAGCAGUAAGGAAUCUUCCACAAUGGGGCAACCCUGAUGGAGCAAUACCGCGUGCAGGAUGAAGCGUUUCGGCGUGUAAACUGCUUUUAUCACCGAAGAUUAUGACUGUAGGUGAAGAAUAAGGACCGGCUAACUACGUG
Molecule: ribosomal RNA, 373 nt
Filed under: uncultured bacterium
Lineage: Bacteria
Description: bacterial SSU rRNA
Rfam family: Bacterial small subunit ribosomal RNA
Source: RNAcentral